RNAcentral lists this ribosomal RNA (253 nucleotides) under uncultured bacterium. Its description in RNAcentral is "partial 16S ribosomal RNA". It matches the Rfam family "Bacterial small subunit ribosomal RNA", at positions 524 to 776 of the family's 1533-position model. The record is from RNAcentral.
UACGUAGGUGGCAAGCGUUGUCCGGAUUCAUUGGGCGUAAAGGGUGCGUAGGCGGCGCGGUAAGUCGGGUGUGAAAUCUCGGAGCUUAACUCCGAAACUGCAUUCGAUACUGCCGUGCUUGAGGACUGGAGAGGAGACUGGAAUUUACGGUGUAGCGGUGAAAUGCGUAGAUAUCGUAAGGAAGACCAGUGGCGAAGGCGGGUCUCUGGACAGUUCCUGACGCUGAGGCACGAAGGUCAGGGGAGCAAACGGG